Molecule: small nuclear RNA, 315 nt
Filed under: Neogale vison (American mink)
Lineage: Eukaryota; Metazoa; Chordata; Mammalia; Carnivora; Mustelidae
Description: Neovison vison (American mink) 7SK RNA (ENSNVIG00000003136.1)
Rfam family: 7SK RNA
About the family: 7SK was discovered as an abundant small nuclear RNA in the mid-70s but a possible function has only recently been suggested. Two independent studies have found that 7SK RNA binds the CDK9/cyclin T complex (known as elongation factor P-TEFb).
Source: RNAcentral
GGAUGUGAGGGCAAUCUAGCUAUGAUAUCCAUCACCCCAUUGAUAGAGUUGAUUUCAGUGAUCUGGCUGGCUAGGUAUGUGUCCUUCCUCACAUCUCCAGUGCUUCCCUCUUGAAACUGCAGGCUAGGUCAAAGAGGAUGACCUUCCCUGACAGAGGAGGACAGUUCUUAGAUCAAGAACAUAUGAGUAGCUGCCUUCCCCUGAUACAAUUUCCAAACAGGCUCUCAAGGUCCAUUUAGGUAGUCAAACAUCUAAGACUCCAGACACAUUCAAACAUCCAAAUCAGGUGCUGCAAGUGGCAGUCUGCUCUACUUA